RNAcentral lists this transfer RNA (77 nucleotides) under Acidobacteriota bacterium. RNAcentral describes it as "tRNA-Glu". It matches the Rfam family "tRNA". Rfam says of the family: Transfer RNA (tRNA) molecules are approximately 80 nucleotides in length. Their secondary structure includes four short double-helical elements and three loops (D, anti-codon, and T loops). Further hydrogen bonds mediate the characteristic L-shaped molecular structure. tRNAs have two regions of fundamental functional importance: the anti-codon, which is responsible for specific mRNA codon recognition, and the 3' end, to which the tRNAs corresponding amino acid is attached (by aminoacyl-tRNA synthetases). tRNAs cope with the degeneracy of the genetic code in two manners: having more than one tRNA (with a specific anti-codon) for a particular amino acid; and 'wobble' base-pairing, i.e. permitting non-standard base-pairing at the 3rd anti-codon position. Lineage: Bacteria; Pseudomonadati; Acidobacteriota. The record is from RNAcentral.
GGCGCAUUGGUGUAGUCGGUUAACACGCAGCCCUCUCAAGGCUGAGACCACGGGUUCGAGUCCCGUAUGCGCUGCCA